This 253-nucleotide ribosomal RNA is filed under the name uncultured bacterium. Its description in RNAcentral is "partial 16S ribosomal RNA". It matches the Rfam family "Bacterial small subunit ribosomal RNA", at positions 524 to 776 of the family's 1533-position model. The record is from RNAcentral.
GACGUAGGGCGCGAGCGUUGUCCGGAUUUAUUGGGCGUAAAGAGCUCGUAGGCGGUCUGUCGCGUCGGCUGUGAAAACUCGGGGCUCAACUCCGAGCCUGCAGUCGAUACGGGCAGACUAGAGUGCGGUAGGGGAGACUGGAAUUCCUGGUGUAGCGGUGAAAUGCGCAGAUAUCGGGAGGAACACCGGUGGCGAAGGCGGUUCUCUGGGCCUGUACUGACGCUGAGGAGCGAAAGCGUGGGGAGCGAACAGG